GCUGGUCCGAUGUUUGGGAUAUUGGACUGACCUAAUUUUAUUUAUUUUUUAUUUCAAAUGCAGUCCGAUGUUGGAGACAUCAGACCGAUCUAGUUUAAAAAAAUGCUAGAUAUCUGGUGGUCUGAUGUGUGCAAUGUUGGACAACCCAAAAAAUGGGUUGGUCCGAUAUCUGGAGUAUCAGAUAGCCCUAGUGUUUGUAAGAAUUGAUAAAAGUAAAACAAAAAACUGGUAUGAUGUUUGCAACAUCGGACUGCAGACAAAAUUGGAAUUAAAACAAACAUGAAAAAGAGGGACCUCUGUGUGAAAUUCCCAAAAAUUUAGACCAAACUAUAAUUCUGCUAAUAAAUAAAUAACAGUCCAUAUGUAAUUUUUCCCCAAAAAAAUAGUAGGGGUUAUGACUCAUUUUAGUCAAUCCUUGCAGAUGUCUAUGAUCCCAUUGCAUUAUUCACUGAAAGAAUGUACACAUAAGUUAUAUGUUCUCACAGAUAAAGAAAGCACAACAUAAGUAAUAUGGCAAUUCUCCAAAUGCAUUUUGGAGAAAAAUGAAUAUUGGCCUGAUUCAGGUAGAGAAAUAUCUCCUUCCAUAACAAAAUGUAGAUGUCAGUUAUAUUUAAUUAUCAUGCAUGAUAUUUGUGAUUCACUGGGAAAAAAUAAUAGUCAUAUCUUUGCAACUGCAAGCCAUAUUUCAAAUAUUUUUUACUUGACACCACUGCAUAAGAAGGAUUAGAGGCCUGGAGGCGGCCAUUUUUCUAAUGCAGGAGCACCUAUAAAUUUUUUAUUCACGGGAGCGGUAAACCCUGAUUAUGUUUCUUGUCAAGGUUUGAAACACAUAUCCUUCAACUUGUUUAUUUAUUUCAAACUCGGUCUGAUAUUUUAAGUUCGUACCUCCUUCUAAUCAAGGUUGGCAUCUAUACUGUCAUGUCUGAAUAGGUAAUCUGUAAUUUUAUGUGUUGGAUAUUAGACCAUCUUAUUUGAGUCAUUAUCUUUGAUCACCAGUCGAAAAAGAAAUGAAUCCAUAGUUCUGGCACUGUUGAGAAAUAUUAUCUGCUCAGGUGGUUAUGGUAGCUGGAAAAACUGCAAGCUUUUUUUCCAUGAUGUGUGCUUGGGGAUUUGGCUAUCCAAUAUCAAUGCCCACUGGUGGCUGCUUAGAACUUAAACAAGUGAGGAAUAGUGCAAACAGAUAUCAAUCACAUCAAGGCAAAGGAAUAUCCAGGAGGUCAUGGAUGAAAAUAUGGUGGAAACUGAGGAUACUAUGGCAGAGCGCAAGGGAGGGCAAAGGGGGGUAAGAAUGGGUUAAAAUUCUAUCGAAUUGAAGGAAGGGGAACCAAUAGCAUUUGGUAAGGGGAGGGCAGUUUGGGAACUACUUUUGAAAUGGUUGACUUCGCAGGACUGAACAACGUUGUGAAUAUUAGUUGACGAUCUUGAGGGUUGACCCGGUAGAGUAUUAAAAUAGGGAAUUCUCUGUGGAUAUCACGAUGCAUGUAUUGAAUAUUAGUGCUGUAAAGGUAUUCCCUUCCACUUUAUUUAGUUAUGGAGCUUAUAUUGGGAGUUUUAGUGUAACAAAUUAACCUCUAGAGCUCUGUUAGGUGGUAGUUGUUGUGUUCAUUUUCGUUUACUUUUAAUCUAUUUUUAGAAUUGAUCGUCAUUAUCUUGGUUUAUAUGUAUAUUUUAGUGUUGAUUGUUCCUGUGCAAUAUAGAGAGCUUGUCCCAGUAUAUGUCUCUACAUGAAUAAUAAUAUUCUGUAUCUGUGUGACAAAUAGAUAAAAAAAUUAGAAAAAAAUCAUCGAAAUUGUUAAGCCGCCUUAAAAGAUUAUCAAGGUGGCCAAUAAACCUAUCUACCAGUAAGGUGGUUUGAUUUUAAAAUAUGAUUUUCACUCAAUUAAUUCCUCAUCUAUUUUGUUCAAUAACACCCAAAAUGCCUGAGUCCUAGAUUUGGAGUCCUAACAAGCAGUGGUGCUUUGGUAAUCUUGCCCCACUUAAGUGGCCCCAGCUAAAUGAUGUAAAUACGUUCAGUAAAAUAAUGUAACUUGCUUGCUCCAGAUUCCAAAACCAAAAAUGUUUUUUGCAUUAAAAUUUCUUAUUCCUGGUUUGGAAUUUGGAACAAGUGGGGGGCAUGUUGGUCUUAUUGGUGCAAUUAUUCCAAACCCUGAGUGGGAACAUUUUUUAAUGAAAUACUUGAGAAGGUACUUUAGUGAAAUGAUCCUAUUAAAAUAACCCCUUUGUUGAUAAAUUGGUUGAUUUGACCGCUCCAGUGAUUUUUUGAGAUAGUUUGACCAUUUUGACAAUACUUUCCCAAAAAACUAUUCUAUGCGUGCACAUACAAAACGAUAUUGGAUCAAGAUUGUAAUCAGGCGGAGAGCGUAACAAUGUUAGGCUGAUAUAUGACACUGGGGAAAUGACAUACAACUUAAGGACAAAGGUUUGGGUUGGGCUUAUGGAGGCAAGGUACAACGUUAAACAGAAUAACAACAGAAAGAUGAGGCUAAUGUGAUUGUAUGUAAUGAUGGUCGGUUGGAUUUUGGGAUUAGAUGAAAGGACUAUGGUUACAAGACUUUGAGCUUAGGCUGAACAGAUCUAUGGCUGGUGGAAGUUUUCUAAAAUAUUGGUGUUCUUUUGUUGAAUUGAAAGUCAGAAGAUUUUGAUGGUAGGAAGAAGAUAUGGGUCAGAAAAGGGUUGGAUAGGAGAACUUUGGGGGGUUGUUGGGGGUGGUUUAGAGAGAAGGAAAAGCAGAGGUCCUUGAUUAGUUACUAGAGGCAGAGGGAGCAGGCGCAGGAAAGGAGUAGCACACGUAAGAAGGGAGUUGUAGUAAGGGGAUGGGUAUAGAGGUGGAAGUAUAUUGUGUACUAUGAUGCUCAUGGAAUUUGAUUAGAGGGGCAGGAAGGUUCAAUCAUACAUGAAACUAUACACAAAUUUGAGAGAAGUUAAUGAGCUUUGGGUAGAAGGAUUUAGAGGUUGGGAGAUGUUUUAGGAAAUCACAUUUGUGGAGUCAUAAGGGGGAAAUGUGGAUAAAUAUUGGGGGGUUGGAAUUAUGUUUGAUUUCGUGUGGCCUGGCUCUACGUGAUUGGAAGCUUAGGAAGAUUGGGGUGAAACAGAAAAUUAGAAAAUGGGUGAAGGGUUCAAGUGGUGUAAGGUUCACUAUUGGGAUUGGUUCUUUGAGGGAACUUUGCUAUCAAUAUAUGUCUCUAGCUUUGGACAUUCCAGGCUUUUGGGGGUCCAGUUGAUCGAGAGGCUCAUGUUAAAUGAGAGUGCUUUGUUGCCCGGUUGAGGAAAGGGUUGAGGGGUGAAGAAGGUAGAAUGAAAUUACAAUUUUUAGUGCCGUUCGAGGACGUGGAGUUAGU
RNAcentral lists this long non-coding RNA (3338 nucleotides) under Amborella trichopoda. RNAcentral's name for it is "long non-coding RNA (ATRI_LNC004137)". The record is from RNAcentral. Lineage: Eukaryota; Viridiplantae; Streptophyta; Magnoliopsida; Amborellales; Amborellaceae.